This 497-nucleotide ribosomal RNA is filed under the name uncultured bacterium. Its description in RNAcentral is "partial 16S ribosomal RNA". It matches the Rfam family "Bacterial small subunit ribosomal RNA", at positions 28 to 507 of the family's 1533-position model. The record is from RNAcentral.
GAUGAACGCUGGCGGCGUGCCUAAUACAUGCAAGUCGAGCGAACAGACGAGGAGCUUGCUCCUCUGACGUUAGCGGCGGACGGGUGAGUAACACGUGGAUAACCUACCUAUAAGACUGGGAUAACUUCGGGAAACCGGAGCUAAUACCGGAUAAUAUAUUGAACCGCAUGGUUCAAUAGUGAAAGACGGUUUUGCUAUCACUUAUAGAUGGAUCCGCGCCGCAUUAGCUAGUUGGUAAGGUAACGGCUUACCAAGGCAACGAUGCGUAGCCGACCUGAGAGGGUGAUCGGCAACACUGGAACUGAGACACGGUCCAGACUCCUACGGGAGGCAGCAGUAGGGAAUCUUCCGCAAUGGGCGAAAGCUUGACGGAGCAACGCCGCGUGAGUGAUGAAGGUCUUCGGAUCGUAAAACUCUGUUAUUAGGGAAGAACAAAUGUGUAAGUAACUAUGCACGUCUUGACGGUACCUAAUCAGAAAGCCACGGCUAACUACGUG